CUCGUGAUAUAGGUACAUGGUGUCCGAGAAAAUGGGGAAAGUGUCCAGGAUUCAGAUGUCGCGGACCCAAACUACUGAGAUAUGAACAAAUGUUAAAAUACUUAGAAAAUAUGGCUAAAUAAAUAAUACUAUCCUUAAUAUACUUAGUAGACUAAAAAAUAAGUUAAGCUUUCACAUAAUGACUUCAUUGAAUAUAUAAUUGUAAUUUAAUUUUAAUAAUAUGCUAUUUAGUAAAAAAGAAAAAACACUAGCUUUACAUAAUUGAAACUAUAUUAGGUUCUUAUAAAUUUCGUAUCUGAUAUGUUACUUAAAUGGUUAUGUAGAUGGUAAUUUGCUAAUACUGGCUGCUGAAAUAGUUUUGUGCUCUGUGAUUUGUGCUUUGGAGUUAAAAUGGGCAGAGUAAAAGAAGUCGAGGUUGCUGGUGAUUGUCCAUGCUAACAUCAAUUAAGAUUACUAAAUACAACGACAAACAUUUUUAUGUAUUUUUUUACAUUGCUGCCCAGUUUCAAAGUUUACUUCGUUUGUCAUUACAAUGAUAUUUAUGUAAUAAGCUUAAAAAAUGUAAUAUAACAGUAAAUGUAAGAUAAAUUUCCCUAUAUUAAUCGAUAAAUGAUAAAAAUUUGAAUGUAGAUAUUACCUAUUAAAUAACGUUCUCGGUAUGAAGUAACAACAAUAACAAAUUUAGCUUGUUUAAUAUAAAACCUUCAAUUAAUGUCAAAUCUUGUCAUUUGUUAAUUAGUUGUCAAUAUUUUCCCACCAGGGAACAUUGUGUGUUACUAUUCAGUGAAUGCAAACCGUUACGUGGAGGAGAAGAUUCUUCAUUGAGUACACCAACUUUCCCAGGAGAGAACAGUUAAAAGAAAAGUUAAAACAGACCUCAAUGCACAAACUUAGUGGAAGGAAGAAAAAAUGCAAAACAGUGUACCACCACACUUCUCCAGGGUCGCAAGGGAGUCUUUACAUACUGCUUUUGUAAGCAGAUGGAUUGUGCCGGACGGUCCAAUCAAGUGGGCACCCUAUUCUCACGAUCUAACCGUUCCUGAGUUUUGUAUAUGAGGAUGUGUAAAGGGACUUUGCUAAGGCUAAGAAAUUAUCACCUAAACGGUAAAAAAGGCCUUUAGCAACAAUCAAAAUGGACGUUAUACACAGAAGCUAAAUUAUCAUUUAAAAAUUAGAAUCAAUUUUUUCAAUUGUUAUAAAUACUGAUAGUGAGGUUAUCGUUACUGUUGUUACUCAUUUAAUAGUAAUGUUUAAUGCGCAGAGUAAAUAUUUUUCUAGGCACGACAACAGCGCAAAUCAUUUGACGCUAAAGCGAUACAGCAAUUAUUGUCAAAUUUUCAUCAAUUAUAUGAUGAUGCGUAGAUACGCUUUUCAUAUUUUAAAUCACUAGAUUUUAUUCGCUCAUUUCAUUAAAUCAGUUUUGGCAAUAACGCUGUAAUACUAAUUAGCUUGAUCCCACAAAGUCGUCAUUCUUUGGGAAGCAAAAAUAGCGUUGUUGAAAUAUCAGUAAGAAUUAAUUUUGCUCCACGUUGUUAAACUAAAAGUUUAGGCUUAGUUAUUGAUUCACAACUAAAAUUUUCUAGCCAUAUAUCGUAUAUUCUUAAAGGAUCUUAUUUUGCUUUAAAAGACGUCUUAUCUUGAUCGAUCUUGCUACUCUCUUAUUUUAUAAAAUUUUAAUCACUGUCGAGAUUCGUAUCGAGCUCAAAAGAUGCGGAGUUAGAUUUAUUUUUGGUAUGAAAAGAUAUAGUCGAGUAUCUCACAAGAAAUUAAUUGGCUUAAUACGUCCAAUAGAAUAAAAUUCCUACUUAUCUAUAUAGUAAAAUUACUUUUUUAUAUCAAAUAAACUUCCACAGGCUACUGUAAGGCUUUU
Cylas formicarius (sweet potato weevil) is the source of this 1870-nucleotide long non-coding RNA. RefSeq lists it as uncharacterized. The transcript is spliced from 3 exons. Lineage: Eukaryota; Metazoa; Arthropoda; Insecta; Coleoptera; Brentidae. The record is from RefSeq and is a predicted model, not a curated record.